CACCAGACCAAAGGACAUUUCUCCAAAAAGUACGAUCUUUGUCUCCAUGUGCAGUUGCAAACCGUAGUCUGGCUUUUUUAUGGCGGUUUUGGAGCAGUGGCUUCUUCCUUGCUGAGCAGCCUUUCAGGUUAUGUCGAUAUAGGACUCGUUUUACUUGUGGAUAUUGAUACUUUUGUACCUGUUUCCUCCAGCAUCUUCACAUUGUCCUUUGCUGUUGUUCUGGGAUUGAUUUGCACUUUUUGCACCAAAGUUCGUUCAUCUCUAGAACGCGUCUCCUUCCAGAGCCAUAUGACGGCUGCGUGGUCCCAUGGUUUUUAUACUUCCGUAUUAUUGUUUGUACAGAUGAACGUGGUACCUUCAGGCGUUUGGAAAUUGCUCCCAAGGAUGAACCAGACCUGGCUGAUUUAUUUUGAUUUUCCCAUGAUGUCAAGCAAAGAGGCACUGAGUUUGAAGGUGUAUGGGACGGUUUCACCAAGCUGAGAGCUGAGUUCUCCCCUCAGGCUGGUGGCCACACCUACUUCCUGCCCUGGCAGCGCUACUUCCUGCGGGUGGUGGAGCAGGAGCUCCAGGCUGUGUCGUCAUGCCAACUGGGUGUUCCGUACUUCGAGUGGACGGUCGACUCUGGGGAUCUUUUGACCUCAGCUGUCUGGCAGGCCGAGAUUUUUGGAGGAGACGGAGAGAGAGAGGGGAAUGGCGAGAGGGAAAGGGAUGAAGAGAGGGAUAGAGCGAGUGAGGGGGAUGGAGAGCAAGAGAGCAACUCUGUCUCAGGCUGUGUCCCCCACCACUCCUUCCAGGGCUUGUCUGCACGGUUCCACUGGUCCCCCUGUCUACGACGGAGCUUCAACACCUCGGUGUCUGUGCCUGACGCGGUGAGCGUCCAGAGGCUACUGUCCCAGGGAAACUUCCUGUCGUUCUCCCAGGCUCUGCAGGGGCUGUCUGGGCUAUUUAGGCUCUGGGUGGGGGGCCACAUGGCCUCUCCUCUGGCCGCCUAUGACCCCCUCUACCUCUCACACGCCGCUUUCAUCGACAAGCUCUGGACACACUGGCAGGACAGGCACAGAGACGUGCACACUCAUGAAGAAGCUCAUGGGCACACUCACCUACACACCCAGUACCCGGUGAGGCAGCGCCACGUCAAGAUGAAGCCGUUCGGCAUUGCUCCUGAUGAUGUGAUGUCUUCACGGGAACAACUGUGUGUGGUGUAUGUACCCAUAACCCUCGGAGCUCCCUGCA
RNAcentral lists this long non-coding RNA (1233 nucleotides) under Salmo salar (Atlantic salmon). RNAcentral describes it as "lncRNA (ENSSSAG00000112603.1)". The record is from RNAcentral. Lineage: Eukaryota; Metazoa; Chordata; Actinopteri; Salmoniformes; Salmonidae.